GAAAGGCAAUAUGUUAAAAAAUGAUGAAUAAGUGCACAUACACACAUAGUGCAUAUGAAUUGCGCGUAUCUUAAUAUGGGUUUGGGUCUCUACUUAUAUUUUAAUAUGCUGUAUUUGUGUGUGUGUGUGUGUGUGUGUGUGUGUGUGUGUGUGUGUGUG
Etheostoma spectabile (orangethroat darter) is the source of this 159-nucleotide long non-coding RNA. RefSeq lists it as uncharacterized. The transcript is spliced from 3 exons. NCBI's taxonomy places the organism in Eukaryota, Metazoa, Chordata, Actinopteri, Perciformes, Percidae. The record is from RefSeq and is a predicted model, not a curated record.